UACACACGUACUACAAUGCAACGGACAAAGGGCAGCCAACUAGCGAUAGUGCGCAAAUCCCAUAAACCGUUGCUCAGUUCAGAUUGCAGGCUGCAACUCGCCUGCAUGAAGGCGGAAUCGCUAGUAAUCGCAGGUCAGCAUACUGCGGUGAAUACGUUCCCGGGCCUUGUACACACCGCCCGUCACACCAUGGAAGUUGGCCACGCCCGAAGUCGUUACCCCAACCGUUUACGGAGGGGGACGCCGAAGGCAGGGCUGAUGACUGGGGUGAAGUCGUAACAAGGUAACC
Molecule: ribosomal RNA, 289 nt
Filed under: uncultured bacterium
Lineage: Bacteria
Description: partial 16S ribosomal RNA
Rfam family: Bacterial small subunit ribosomal RNA
Source: RNAcentral